This 201-nucleotide non-coding RNA is filed under the name Dialister succinatiphilus. RNAcentral describes it as "T-box sequence". It matches the Rfam family "T-box leader". From Rfam's summary of the family: Uncharged tRNA acts as the effector for transcription antitermination of genes in the T-box leader family. T-boxes are found upstream of many aminoacyl-tRNA synthetase genes and some amino acid biosynthetic genes usually in Gram-positive bacteria. The record is from RNAcentral. Lineage: Bacteria; Bacillati; Bacillota; Negativicutes; Veillonellales; Veillonellaceae.
AGAUAAGCGAUGAACGAGAAAAAGGUUGCUUUUGAUCUUGCAGAGAGCCGGUGGGAGAUGAAAACCGGUAGAUGAGGGCAUACUGUUAGUCACUCGAGAGCUUUUCUGCCGAAUAUAGUAAGCAGGAACGUCCAUUCACGUUACGAAUAUGGAACCGCAAGUAUAAUGUAGGGUGGUACCGCGAAACAAUUCGCCCCUAUC